Molecule: long non-coding RNA, 448 nt
Filed under: Equus caballus (horse)
Lineage: Eukaryota; Metazoa; Chordata; Mammalia; Perissodactyla; Equidae
Description: lncRNA (ENSECAG00000046155.1)
Source: RNAcentral
CAAACUAUGAUUGAAGGACCACAGUUGAGAAGAGAAAGAGAGCUUAUGUGGAUCUGCAGGGGAAGAUCUCCCUGAGGAAGUGGCAUUUAAGCUGAUAUGAAGAAUGAUAUAUCAGAAGCAACAUGAGCUUUGAGUACAAAAUUGUCAUGAACAUUGGCUUGACGAAAGCAGUCCACAAGAAAUUCCUGAUACUGCCCACCAGAAGUUAUCCUGCUUUUAGUGAGCACCGUGCUUGACAAUACGAGAACCCUAACUACCUAAGUUCACCAGCCGUUCAUUGAAGAAGAUAAAGAUGAAGGCAAACACCAGCCUGGUACCACCCACCAUGAGGAAGGAAAGGCAAGUUAGGUUUCAGUAUGGCUCAGCCUGGCGACUGAAGCGACACAUGGACACUCGCCUCAAGUAGUCCACAAAGGUAUUUCCCCCAAGAGCAUUCCCAAAAGCUUCC